AUGCUGAAGCCUCCUGCCGCAGCUCCCCUGUUCACUGAAGCAUUUAAGGAACGACUGCCCAGUCCUGAGCAAGGCACUCAGCCACCUGCCGGAGCACAUAGGAAGCUGAGGAGGAGGCCCCAGGCCCGGCCCAGCCAGGAGCCGGGGAGGGAACGAAGAGCUCCCAGCCUGGUAAGGACAGACACGCAUCUGGUCACCUCCAGGGCAAUGACCCACUUAUUUCACUUGCAACUGCGUCCCAUUAAGUGGUGCAUUUCAGACACUCGAGAAUCUACUGGAGGAAAAGUAUUUGGCCCUCAUUAUCCUGGACACUCACUGCUGCCAGCCAGCUUGCAAGAUCCUCACAGCCCUCCCCACCACACCCUGGGAGACAAACAUGAGUGCGUGAGAAAAAGCCAGAAAGUUCCCCCCCUCUUAUCUGAGACACCGCUUUACCUCAUGUGUCAGGGGUCACUGAGCCAGGAAAGGCGGAUGCCUGGAGCUCCUUGGUGUCUUAGUUGCGUCUGUACCUCCACCUGGCAGCGGGUGGCCCUCAGGGGCUGCUCUGAGAGUGUUUGCUGCAGGAUUGGUGAGCGCUGGGAGCUGAGCACUGCGCAGCAACCUGGGAAACACAAGGUCAAAGGCCAAAGGUUGAAAAGAUACCUGCAGGCAGGGUCUCCAAAUACUUGGCCAAUCACAAAUACCAGACAAAUAGGGAGACCAGCUCUGACAAGACUAAGAGACAGUCCCUUCUGGAUUCACUUGUUUGGCCAACCAAACGCAGUCUUUGCUUUGUGCAGGGCCUCCUGGCUCCCUGAAAAUCUGUUUUCCUGCAAGAGAUGGUGUCUUCCUGAAGAUAAGGGCUGUGUCCCAGACCCGUGUCCCCUCACGGUGCCAGUCUGCAGCCUGUCCCCCGCCCCCAGUGCUGAGCUAUAAAUACCUCUCCACCCACGACAUCUGCCUCCCACACACCGAGCGUGGCCUCCGGGGGAGAAGGACCCCAUUUCCCCUCUCAAGUUGCCGCUCUGGGGCUGAGCCAACAUUCAAACUCGGGUGAGUCCAGCAGGUCCUUUGCCCCAGGCCUUCGGCUGUCUCCUCCUUGGGGCUUAGUCCUUGGCCACCUCUGAGGUGCUGGGGACAUUCAAACAAGGCGCAUGCAUUCAUUUUGUUAGGUUUCUAAAGCAAACGGCCACAGAUGUAGCCACUUGAAACAGUGGACGUUUGUUCUCUCACCAGCAAAAAAAUCAAGGUGUGGUCCAAGUUGGUUCCCGGAGGCGCCGACAGGGUUUCGGGAUCCACAGGGAAGCGGGGACACCUCUGAGCUGGACUUACGAAAGCCCCAGUCUUCACAAGCAGAGACCCACAUGUCCUCCCUCGGGAUGAGCAUACGUGAAUGUGAAUGUCCACAUUCUUUCUUCCUUUAUUUUUCUAGGGCUGCGCCCACGGC
RNAcentral lists this long non-coding RNA (1426 nucleotides) under Sus scrofa (pig). Its description in RNAcentral is "lncRNA (ENSSSCG00070002153.1)". Lineage: Eukaryota; Metazoa; Chordata; Mammalia; Artiodactyla; Suidae. The record is from RNAcentral.